RNAcentral lists this non-coding RNA (23 nucleotides) under Cricetulus griseus (Chinese hamster). The record is from RNAcentral. Lineage: Eukaryota; Metazoa; Chordata; Mammalia; Rodentia; Cricetidae.
GUCUGAAAUGGAGGCUACUCUUU